CACGGCAGAAGAUGGAGUGGGAAAGCGGGUGUUUGUCUCGCUCUUUCGGGAGCCGGAGCAGACCGUCAGCCCGCAGCAGCUCGGGUUCCCGACGCGGAGCGCUCGCCUGCCUCGGCCGCCGCCAGAGCGGUCCGAAGACGCCCACACUGCCGCCACCGGCGCCAAGCUGGAGCGCGACGUCCGUGCCCGGACCUGCCCGGCCUCUCUUCCUCUGAUCUGUGGGACCAUGCGACAGAGAGGACCGGUCACUCACUUCGUUUCAAGGUGACUUGUGGGGUCCGGAGCCGUUUGCAUCUGUCUGCUGCAGUUUGGAAACAGAGUAACGGCCCAAGAGAAGCCCGGCAAACUUGUCCAAACCACACAGAACUUCAGGCCCUACAAACGCCAACUGGGCAUGGAGCACAGGAAGAGUUCUUCUCCCUCGAAAAUGCCUGACAUCCAUGAAGAGCUUUACAAUUUACAAAGCUAUGUGACAUCCACCAUCUCAUCUUUAGAUCAACAAUGUGAGCUCAGGGAUGCCACCCCCAGCAGUCAGUUCAGCUGCAGGGAAGAGAGAACCUCUCCAGCUAUCUUAAGAAGAGGAAAUUACCCCUAGAAAUGAGGUGCUUACAGAAUUCUUGAACAGACCCGAGAGAGGCAACCUCUAGACUCUCAAAACAACUGAACUGUUCACCAAGAUUGCUGCGCUCUCUGCCACUAGCAGGAAGGUAAGGAGACGGGGGCUGCCUCCAGAGAUGUUGAUUUCCAGAGUGAGCUAUUAUAGCUGUGAUCCAGGGAUCAGGAAGCCACUGCCACCACAGCUGGUGACUGAGCAAACACUAGAAUGUUGUCACAGGCCCACCCACAGUGCGUCCAGCAACAGCAGCCAGAGCAGCAGACAAAAGGUCUCUGCCUCACAUCUGCCUUCCUAACCUAACACAAGUGCAUCUAAUUGGAGAAACUGAAUUCUCAUCCACAGCCCUAGCUGCAAAGGUGUCUGGGAAAUGUAGUUUGGGCCUUCCAGGCACUGCAGACUGCAGAGGCACCAUAGGACAGGGUCAGAAUGGAAGCUGAAUGCCUGUUGCCACACCUCCAUUUUCUGCAGAUAAGGAAGCUAAGGUUCAGAGAGGUUAAGAAACG
Long non-coding RNA from Heterocephalus glaber (naked mole-rat), 1119 nucleotides. Lineage: Eukaryota; Metazoa; Chordata; Mammalia; Rodentia; Bathyergidae. The record is from Ensembl.